AGGUCGCGCCAGUGCACUCCAGCCAAGACGACAGAACAAGACCCUGUCCAAAAAAAAAGACUUGCUAGGCAGAAGGGGGCAAGUGACUUUGAGGCUCUUGUGUUUUGAGUGAUGUCACAGAGACAGGCGGGUCACUAGAAUUGAUCGUGGAUAGUGAAUGAAGCAAAAUGUCCCAAAGCAAUGGGACUAGUGGGGUGGGGACAAGAGCACAUCUAGGAUAUGUUAAGGAGCAAUAGAUGUCUAACUGGGCAAAGAAGAACAAGGACCCUGGCUUCAGAAAAGCUGAGGAUUUAGGACUCCGUGCCAGGAGUUUGCACCCUCGGGACCUUGGCUGAGUAGAGAAACAGGUGAAGAGGAAGGCCGCCAAAUGGAAGAGAUGGGAAAACACAUCGGGACAGCAAAGAGAGGGAGACAGGGGGGUCUCCCAGCCAGGAGCCCUAGAAGCAGCCGGGCUGCCGCAUGUUUCCACCUGCAAGCGAGGUUCCAGCCAGCUGUCCGGGCUGGGCUGCCACAACAAGCGGAAGGGAAGAGCGCCACUCACCUGGGAUCGCGAUGUUUCUCACCCUCCUCAAGUGUGCAUUGCCAGCUAGGCAUUGCUAAGCUAAUUUACGUGUUGUAGCUCUGGAGGCUCAAGGUGAGAAAGGGGAGCCAGCCGGCUGCAAAUGGGAAUCCUGCCUUCCACCCGAGACAGGCUGGACUGGCCUCAAGCUCCCUCUGUUCCCAUGUACUCAAGGCCAGACCAAUUACUAUUUGUAGAAGGUCACACCCCAGGUCUUCUGAUCCCAAACCCUUUCUCCCAGGCACCUGUUCAUCAGCCCCUAGAGUCACCCAGAUUGUCUGGGUUCUGUCCUUGGUGACAGCGAUUAAACUUGUAACACUGAGUGCUCCGUAGCAUACUGUGGGGGAGAGGAGUGA
RNAcentral lists this long non-coding RNA (915 nucleotides) under Homo sapiens (human). RNAcentral's name for it is "HSALNT0405294". The record is from RNAcentral. Lineage: Eukaryota; Metazoa; Chordata; Mammalia; Primates; Hominidae.